UACGAAGGGGGCUAGCGUUGCUCGGAAUCACUGGGCGUAAAGCGCACGUAGGCGGGUUGCUAAGUCAGGGGUGAAAUCCUGGAGCUCAACUCCAGAACUGCCUUUGAUACUGGCGAUCUCGGAGUCCGGGAGAGGUGAGUGGAACUGCGAGUGUAGAGGUGAAAUUCGUAGAUAUUCGCAAGAACACCAGUGGCGAAGGCGGCUCACUGGCCCGGUACUGACGCUGAGGUGCGAAAGCGUGGGGAGCAAACAGG
This 254-nucleotide ribosomal RNA is filed under the name uncultured bacterium. RNAcentral's name for it is "partial 16S ribosomal RNA". It matches the Rfam family "Bacterial small subunit ribosomal RNA", at positions 524 to 776 of the family's 1533-position model. The record is from RNAcentral.